CUUCUUCCCCACUUCCUCCGUUUGAGGUUCUAAUAUUAAGAUGUGGAACUAAAUUCAUUCCCAGCACCCAUUAAGGAGAAAAUAAGCUGCUAGCAUCCUAAAAAGCUGUUGACCCUCGCGGGACACUCAAUAUCUGACUGUGACAACAAGGAUGUCAUCAGCACACAUAGUGUCCCAAAACUGGUUUGACCUGCUGCAUUCCAUCAUAAGGAUCACGUAAUGAAUGUGACAAUGCAAUAGCUGAAAUAAAGACUACAUCUGUAGUGGUGCAGAUAAGUGGCGAAGUCUUUCAUUUAAUGAUAAGACACGUGUUUGUUUGUGGGUUUUGUUUUUGUUUUUUUUAAAUUCCAUGUUAGAGUGCCAGAUCAGAUACUUACAUUUUUCAUGAUUUUUUUUUUUCAUAAUGUGAAUCACUGAUGCUAUCUUACUGUACCAGCAAGAUAUGAUGUGACUUUACAUACAUAUUGUAUUCAGUACAAACAAAUCAGAAUUUCAGCCAACAAAUUGCAAGUCAAGAGCAGCUGGAUCCCCACUGCCAUUUUCAAACAAGCAAGUAGCUCAGUUAGAAUUAGGUAGGCUUUUCAUAUUCUGUAACACUGUAUGAAGGAAAAGUCAAAUUACAUAUUAUGUUUUAUGACAUUUCAUUUCUUGUUUGUGCAGCUUUUUACUAUUGUCACUAAAAUUGAGAUCUGUUACUAAGCGUGAGCUUUCUAUCCUAGAGAAAGUCUUUUCUCCUCUUUGUGUGGGAAUAUUCUUUUAUGUCUUCAUAGACAGCCUGUGUGUUGGGGAACUUACUCUCUAAAGUUAUUCCUCCCACCCACCGCAAAGAGUCACUUCUUUGCAGAAGAACAGUGUCUUCAGAAAAGUUACAGUAUAAUUCAUCAAACACAUAAUGGCUUCAAAAAUCUUCUACUCCCCAGUUUCAUCGCCUAAUCCUGAAAGAGAGACUGAAAUACGAAUCUCCCCUGCUGUAUAGACAAAGUCACGAUUGCUUUUCCAUUGAGUUUCCACAGUCCUCUGUAUGAACAGAGAAAGAGCAAGGAAGAAAUAAGUGAAGCUGCAAAAUAGACAUCCAGAUAACACAGACAAAAGCAAGAGCUUCAAGGUAACCUCUCUACAAAGGAGCUUCUGACUCUUCCAGCGGCUUCUGCUAGUGCAUCUGGGACCUUGACUUGGGUAUUCCAGGAGUGGACUUUCAGAUUGCACACACUAUUAAUAUUCACUGCUCCAGAGUGUUUUCCUGUCUCCCACUAAGCAUUUUACAUAACAUUCAGCCACACAAUCUACCCAAGACCAGAUUUUUUCCAGGUAGUAUCAGAAGUAACAACAAUAAUAAUGAGUGUGGGUGAACAAAUAGUGUGCAACGGCAUCCAACAACCCAACCCAAAUGUACAGCCUUCCUUCUAAUAGAAUUUACAGUACGUUUCACCUCUCUAUUAGAGGUUUCUAUCGUUAGACAUUCUAUCGUCUCUCUACCGUUUUCUAUCACCUGUUUAUCUA
Gallus gallus (chicken) is the source of this 1500-nucleotide long non-coding RNA. The record is from Ensembl. NCBI's taxonomy places the organism in Eukaryota, Metazoa, Chordata, Aves, Galliformes, Phasianidae.